RNAcentral lists this ribosomal RNA (1678 nucleotides) under Salmonella enterica subsp. enterica serovar Newport str. SHSN010. RNAcentral describes it as "bacterial LSU rRNA". It matches the Rfam family "Bacterial large subunit ribosomal RNA", at positions 1271 to 2925 of the family's 2925-position model. The record is from RNAcentral. Lineage: Bacteria; Pseudomonadati; Pseudomonadota; Gammaproteobacteria; Enterobacterales; Enterobacteriaceae.
UGCUGGAGGUAUCAGAAGUGCGAAUGCUGACAUAAGUAACGAUAAAGCGGGUGAAAAGCCCGCUCGCCGGAAGACCAAGGGUUCCUGUCCAACGUUAAUCGGGGCAGGGUGAGUCGACCCCUAAGGCGAGGCCGAAAGGCGUAGUCGAUGGGAAACGGGUUAAUAUUCCCGUACUUGGUGUUACUGCGAAGGGGGGACGGAGAAGGCUAUGUUGGCCGGGCGACGGUUGUCCCGGUUUAAGCGUGUAGGUGUGUGUUCCAGGUAAAUCCGGUUCACUUUAACACUGAGGCGUGACGACGAGGCACUACGGUGCUGAAGCAACAAAUGCCCUGCUUCCAGGAAAAGCCUCUAAGCAUCAGGUAACACGAAAUCGUACCCCAAACCGACACAGGUGGUCAGGUAGAGAAUACCAAGGCGCUUGAGAGAACUCGGGUGAAGGAACUAGGCAAAAUGGUGCCGUAACUUCGGGAGAAGGCACGCUGACACGUAGGUGAAGUGAUUUACUCAUGGAGCUGAAGUCAGUCGAAGAUACCAGCUGGCUGCAACUGUUUAUUAAAAACACAGCACUGUGCAAACACGAAAGUGGACGUAUACGGUGUGACGCCUGCCCGGUGCCGGAAGGUUAAUUGAUGGGGUCAGCGCAAGCGAAGCUCCUGAUCGAAGCCCCGGUAAACGGCGGCCGUAACUAUAACGGUCCUAAGGUAGCGAAAUUCCUUGUCGGGUAAGUUCCGACCUGCACGAAUGGCGUAAUGAUGGCCAGGCUGUCUCCACCCGAGACUCAGUGAAAUUGAACUCGCUGUGAAGAUGCAGUGUACCCGCGGCAAGACGGAAAGACCCCGUGAACCUUUACUAUAGCUUGACACUGAACAUUGAGCCUUGAUGUGUAGGAUAGGUGGGAGGCUUUGAAGUGUGGACGCCAGUCUGCAUGGAGCCGACCUUGAAAUACCACCCUUUAAUGUUUGAUGUUCUAACGUGGACCCGUAAUCCGGGUUGCGGACAGUGUCUGGUGGGUAGUUUGACUGGGGCGGUCUCCUCCUAAAGAGUAACGGAGGAGCACGAAGGUUGGCUAAUCCUGGUCGGACAUCAGGAGGUUAGUGCAAUGGCAUAAGCCAGCUUGACUGCGAGCGUGACGGCGCGAGCAGGUGCGAAAGCAGGUCAUAGUGAUCCGGUGGUUCUGAAUGGAAGGGCCAUCGCUCAACGGAUAAAAGGUACUCCGGGGAUAACAGGCUGAUACCGCCCAAGAGUUCAUAUCGACGGCGGUGUUUGGCACCUCGAUGUCGGCUCAUCACAUCCUGGGGCUGAAGUAGGUCCCAAGGGUAUGGCUGUUCGCCAUUUAAAGUGGUACGCGAGCUGGGUUUAGAACGUCGUGAGACAGUUCGGUCCCUAUCUGCCGUGGGCGCUGGAGAACUGAGGGGGGCUGCUCCUAGUACGAGAGGACCGGAGUGGACGCAUCACUGGUGUUCGGGUUGUCAUGCCAAUGGCACUGCCCGGUAGCUAAAUGCGGAAGAGAUAAGUGCUGAAAGCAUCUAAGCACGAAACUUGCCCCGAGAUGAGUUCUCCCUGAGACUUAGAGUCUCCUGAAGGAACGUUGAAGACGACGACGUUGAUAGGCCGGGUGUGUAAGCGCAGCGAUGCGUUGAGCUAACCGGUACUAAUGAACCGUGAGGCUUAACCUUAC